GAUAAACGCUGGCGGCGUGCCUAAUGCAUGCAAGUCGAACGGUCUAGCCCUUCGGGGUUAGGUAGUGGCAAACGGGUGAGUAAGACGUGGGAAUUUGCCCUUGAGUGGGGAAUAACUGCUCGAAAGAGUAGCUAAUACCGCAUAAGCUAGAAAUAGUAAAGGCCCCUUAAAAGGUCGCUCAAGGAGAAGCCUGCGGCUGAUUAGCUAGUAGGUGGGGUAAAAGCCUACCUAGGCGAUGAUCAGUAGCUGGUCUGAGAGGAUGGUCAGCCACACUGGG
This 277-nucleotide ribosomal RNA is filed under the name uncultured bacterium. RNAcentral's name for it is "partial 16S ribosomal RNA". It matches the Rfam family "Bacterial small subunit ribosomal RNA", at positions 28 to 317 of the family's 1533-position model. The record is from RNAcentral.